AUCAGCCUUUUCGGGUGCGAUUCUGUGGGGUUUGAGGAGCUCAACACCUUCAUGCUUUGCAUAUUCGUGCUCUUGGGUGUACUUGCCCGUGUGGUUGGUUAACAUCAAUUUUGGUGGUCAUAAAAUGACUGGAGGAAUGUAGCUUCGAUCUCGUAUUGAAGUGUUACAGCCUUCGGUAGAUGUGAUGAUCGAGAUUGAGGAUUGCAACGGAUACCCUUCGGGGCUACCUGUCUGAUCUCUGAUCGUUGUUCUGGUGCCGAAAGCUUGCUUACGGUUAUCAAAGUCGAUGGUCAAUAGGUUAGAAUGGGUUAAAUUCGUUAAGGAUGUUGACGUAAUGGCUUU
Molecule: ribosomal RNA, 342 nt
Filed under: uncultured Glomeromycotina
Lineage: Eukaryota; Fungi; Glomeromycota
Description: eukaryotic LSU rRNA
Source: RNAcentral